UGAGGUAGAUAGGUUCGGGGUGGAAGCGUGGCGACACGUGCAGCUGACGAAUACUAAUCGAUCGAGGACUUAACCAAA
This 78-nucleotide ribosomal RNA is filed under the name Psychrobacillus soli. RNAcentral describes it as "partial 23S ribosomal RNA". The record is from RNAcentral. Lineage: Bacteria; Bacillati; Bacillota; Bacilli; Caryophanales; Bacillaceae.